GGCUCAGGAUGAACGCUAGCGGCAGGCUUAAUACAUGCAAGUCGUGGGGCAGCAUGAGUAGCAAUACUUGAUGGCGACCGGCAAACGGGUGAGGAACACGUACACAACCUUCCUUCAAGCGGGGAAUAGCCCAGAGAAAUUUGGAUUAAUACCCCAUAAUAUAUUUGAUAAGGCAUCUUAUUAAUAUUAAAGCGUUCGGCACUUGAUGAUGGGUGUGCGGCUGAUUAGAUAGUUGGCGGGGUAACGGCCCACCAAGUCUACGAUCAGUAGCUGAUGUGAGAGCAUGAUCAGCCACACGGGCACUGAGACACGGCCCGACUCCUACGGGAGGCAGCAGUAAGGAAUAUUGGACAAUGGACGAAAGUCUGAUCCAGCCAUGCCGCGUGAAGGAUUAAGGUCCUCUGGAUUGUAAACUUCUUUUAUAUGGGACGAAAAAAGGGCAUUCUUGUUCACUUGACGGUACCAUAUGAAUAAGCACCGGCUAACUCCGUG
Molecule: ribosomal RNA, 492 nt
Filed under: uncultured bacterium
Lineage: Bacteria
Description: bacterial SSU rRNA
Rfam family: Bacterial small subunit ribosomal RNA
Source: RNAcentral